This 355-nucleotide ribosomal RNA is filed under the name Rhipicephalus sanguineus (brown dog tick). RNAcentral's name for it is "partial large subunit ribosomal RNA". Lineage: Eukaryota; Metazoa; Arthropoda; Arachnida; Ixodida; Ixodidae. The record is from RNAcentral.
AUUUUAAUUGAAUGCUAAGAGAAUGGAAUUUCAGAAAAAAACUUUUUUCAAGUUAAAAAUUGAAAUUUUUUUAAUUUGUGCAGAAACAAUUAUUAAUAUUAAGGACAAGAAGACCCUAUGAAUUUAUAAAUUUUAUUUAAUAUGUAACUACUAUUAAAAAAAAUUUUAGCUGGGGCGGCGGAAAAAUAUUUAAAACUUUUUAAAAAUAAAAUGACCCAUUAUUAAUGAUUAUAUGUUAAAUACUCUAGGGAUAACAGCGUUAUAUUUUUUGAUAGACCAUAUUGACAAAAAAGUUUGCGACCUCGAUGUUGGAUUAGGAUACUUUUUUAAUGCAGAUAUUAAAAAAAGAAGUUUG